Molecule: ribosomal RNA, 184 nt
Filed under: Blautia wexlerae
Lineage: Bacteria; Bacillati; Bacillota; Clostridia; Lachnospirales; Lachnospiraceae
Description: partial 23S ribosomal RNA
Rfam family: Bacterial large subunit ribosomal RNA
Source: RNAcentral
AGUAGCCAAGCCCGGAAGGGAUAAACGCUGAAGGCAUCUAAGCGUGAAGCCCCCCUUAAGAUGAGAUAUCCCAUUCGUUAAGAAGUAACCCCCCUUGAAGACGACGAGGUAGAUAGGGCAGAGGUGGAAGUGUGGCAACACAUGGAGCUGACUGUUACUAAUCGGGUGAGGGCUUGACCAAGAA